RNAcentral lists this non-coding RNA (45 nucleotides) under Schistosoma mattheei. The record is from RNAcentral. Lineage: Eukaryota; Metazoa; Platyhelminthes; Trematoda; Strigeidida; Schistosomatidae.
AUCCAGCUGACCAGUCCCAAAUAGGACGAAAUGUGCAUCUUGAAU